Molecule: ribosomal RNA, 226 nt
Filed under: uncultured bacterium
Lineage: Bacteria
Description: partial 16S ribosomal RNA
Rfam family: Bacterial small subunit ribosomal RNA
Source: RNAcentral
GCGUUGUCCGGAUUUACUGGGCGUAAAGAGCGCGCAGGCGGCUGGUCAAGUCCGAUGUGAAAGCUCCCGGCUUAACUGGGAAAUUGCAUCGGAAACUGAUCGGCUGGAAGGUGGGAGAGGGUAGCGGAAUUCCCGGUGUAGUGGUGAAAUGCGUAGAUAUCGGGAGGAACACCAGUGGCGAAAGCGGCUACCUGGCCCAUUCUUGACGCUGAGGCGCGAAAGCUAG